ACAGAAGACUUACGCUGAACUUCCUUUUCCUGCCUGGGUCUCUCCACACUUUGGCUGAUCAUUACGUGGCUGAUAAAGACUGGUUGUGAAUGCCAUUGCAAAGCUUGUAUGUUAAAAUGUGCUCAUAUUGAAAUUAGAGCAUUCUUUGUCAUUCCUCCUUCUGCUCUUGUAUAGCCUGUCAACGGGGCUCCUUUGGGUUCUAUACUUGCCUUUGAUGCUGGUAAAAGGGAGCAGCUAGUAAAUUCAGGCUUAGAAUAGCCCAAACUGAUUAGGUCUGUGGAAUUCCCCUACUCUCAUCAGUACUUCUUCAAUUUUUUUUUUUUCAGCUCAAAUGUUCUUUUGCAGUUACUAACUGUCCUGAGCCUUCAGUAACCCCCACUCCAUGCUCCACCUCCAUUCCUUUCAUCAAACUAACAUGUGGGUCCAGAACCACUGAAGAGUGCUUUUUAAAAAGAGUGAGCACGACAAGCUUUUAUUGGUGAUGCUCUCAGAGUUUUCACUUCUAAGGGAGCUCUGGACACAUCGUGCAGUGGGGAGACCACACCACUCAGAGGCAGAAGACUGGACUUGAACUGUGCAAGCACUCAGAAACAUGAUCCAGGUCUUAUCUUCAACUCUGUGAAACUGAAGGCAUUAGAAGAGGUGGCUUCCAAUGAGUUGUCAGGGGUUACAGUUUCAUGGCCCUGCCAGGAACCACAUUGGCUCCAGCCCAAGAUGACCCUGGCUCAGGUUACUGGCCUUCAUCCUGACCUCUGUACGAGUGACCCUGACUGGACCUCUCCACUUAUCUGUGCCUUAGUUUCUCCAUCUGUAAAGUAAUAUGUGCUUUUCUUCCCACAAGAGUGAAUGAAAUGAUAUGGGUGAAAGCAUAUUGGAGGAAAGCUGGGACAAGAUGAAUCGGAGAUCUCAUAUUACUGUUGUGUCUCAGGCUGCAAUUAUGAAAAGAAACUUGCCUUGUCUAAUGGGAUGUCUGGAUCCGAAUUUGCAAUCCCCAUUGAAAGGCAUUAUGCAGCUAUUUCCAUGGCCAACAAGGUAAUGCUGUCAAGUUUCACCCCAGCUCUCAGUAGGAUAAUAUUGAACCUCAGUUAAAGGGUAAAUGUGUUUAGGUGGACUCUAAUUUACCUCCUCGUUCCAUGCAUUUUAUGAGGAAUGUAUGUAGUUAACUGUUAUCAGGUUGUUAAGCAAUUUGAUGAGGUGUGAAGUAGACUUUUAAUUGCUUUAUUUACAACAUACUUAUCAUUCACUAAGAUUCAGUUGGGGCGAAUUCUCUACUUAGUGGAUUAAUGUAAGUGUGGUGUAGUGAACUAUAAUUUGGCAAAACCAGAAGCUGAAAAAUAGCCAUUGAAAUUUUAUCAGUCAUAGUCAUUUGAGAA
Tupaia belangeri chinensis (Chinese tree shrew) is the source of this 1373-nucleotide long non-coding RNA. RefSeq lists it as uncharacterized. The transcript has 3 exons. Lineage: Eukaryota; Metazoa; Chordata; Mammalia; Scandentia; Tupaiidae. The record is from RefSeq and is a predicted model, not a curated record.